AUUGGGUUCCGGCAUUGGAAUGAGAACAAUAUAAAUCUUUUAACGAGGAUCUAGUGGAGGGCAAGUCUGGUGCCAGCAGCCGCGGUAAUUCCAGCUCCGCAAGUGUAUAUCUAUGUUGCUGCGGUUAAAAAGCUCGUAGUUGGAUCUGCGUGUUUAGCGUCCGGUUCGACUUUUGGUCGUUACUGGAACGCGACACAGAUGUGCUGGUUUGCCGUUGAUGCUCUUAACCGGGUGUCAGUGGCGGCUAGCGAGUUUACUUUGAAAAAAUUAGAGUGCUCAAAACAGGCGUUUCGCCUGAAUAUUUCUGCAUGGAAUAAUAGAAUAGGACUUCGAUUCUAUUCUGUUGGUUUUCGGAAUGCGAAGUAAUGAUUAAGAGGGACAGACGGGGGCAUUCGUACUGCGACGUUAGAGGUGAAAUUCUUGGAUCGUCGCAAGACGUACUACUGCGAAGGCAUUUGCCAAGAAUGUUUUCAUUAAUCAAGAACGAAAGUUAUGGGUUCGAAGGCGAUCAGAUACCGCCCUAGUCAUAACCGUAAACGAUUCAAACUGGGCGCCCGACGGUGUUUUUAUUGACCCGUCGGGAACCCUCCCGGAAACGAAAGUGUUCGUGUUCCGGGGGAAAUAUGUCUGCAAAGAGGAAACUUAAAGGAAUUGACGGAAGGGCACCACCAGGGGUGGAGCCUGCGGCUUAAUUUGACUCAACACGGGGAAACUCACCCGGCCCGGACACCGUAAGGAUUGACAGAUUGAGAGCUCUUUCUUGAUUCGGUGGGUGGUGGUGCAUGGCCGUUCUUAGUUGGUGGAGUGAUUUGUCUGGUUUAUUCCGAUAACGAACGAGACUCUGGCCUGCUAACUAGUGUUCACAUCUUUACGUGUGCUUCGCUUCUUAGAGGGACAGGCGGCUUCCAGCCGCAUGAAGAAGAGCAAUAACAGGUCUGUGAUGCCCUUAGAUGUCCGGGGCUGCACGCGCGCUACACUGAAAGAAUCAGCGUGUACGUUACCUGGCUCGAAAGAGUCGGGUAAUCCGGUGAAAAUCUUUCGUGAUUGGGAUCGGGACUUGCAAUUAUUUCCCUUGAACGAGGAAUCCCUAGUAAGUGCGGGUCAUCAGCUCGCGCUGAUUACGUCCCUGCCCUUUGUACACACCGCCCGUCGCUGCCCGGAACUGAGCCGUUUCGAGAAGAAUGGGGACUGUCUACUUGAGGUCUUCACGGACUUUUUGUAAAUGGAAACCGCUU
RNAcentral lists this ribosomal RNA (1235 nucleotides) under metagenome. Its description in RNAcentral is "SSU rRNA". It matches the Rfam family "Eukaryotic small subunit ribosomal RNA", at positions 495 to 1759 of the family's 1831-position model. The record is from RNAcentral.